Molecule: long non-coding RNA, 102 nt
Organism: Dermochelys coriacea (leatherback sea turtle)
Lineage: Eukaryota; Metazoa; Chordata; Testudines; Dermochelyidae
Exons: 3
Source: RefSeq, a predicted model, not a curated record
ACAAGAAGUAAUGGGUUUAAUCUGCAGCAAGGGAGAUUUGGGUUAGAUGGGUUAGAAAAGUUUUCUAAUUAUAAAGGUAGUUAAUCUCUGGAAGGUGCUUCC